RNAcentral lists this ribosomal RNA (214 nucleotides) under uncultured bacterium. RNAcentral's name for it is "partial 16S ribosomal RNA". The stretch from base 1 to 187 matches the Rfam family "Bacterial small subunit ribosomal RNA", at positions 568 to 754 of the family's 1533-position model. The record is from RNAcentral.
UGCGUAGGUGGCGCCGUAAGUCAGGUGUGAAAUUUCGGAGCUUAACUCCGAAACUGCAUUUGAUACUGCGGUGCUUGAGGACUGGAGAGGAGACUGGAAUUCACGGUGUAGCAGUGAAAUGCGUAGAUAUCGUGAGGAAGACCAGUGGCGAAGGCGGGUCUCUGGACAGUUCCUGACACUGAGGCACCGAAGGGGCCCAGGGGGAAGGCAAACG